Molecule: ribosomal RNA, 491 nt
Filed under: uncultured bacterium
Lineage: Bacteria
Description: partial 16S ribosomal RNA
Rfam family: Bacterial small subunit ribosomal RNA
Source: RNAcentral
AGUGAACGCUGGCGGGAGGAAGAACAAAGGCAAGUCGAACGGCAGCACAGUAAGAGCUUGCUCUUACGGGUGGCGAGUGGCGGACGGGUGAGGAAUACAUCGGAAUCUACUUUUUCGUGGGGGAUAACGUAGGGAAACUUACGCUAAUACCGCAUACGACCUACGGGUGAAAGCAGGGGAUCUUCGGACCUUGCGCGAUUGAAUGAGCCGAUGUCGGAUUAGCUAGUUGGCGGGGUAAAGGCCCACCAAGGCGACGAUCCGUAGCUGGUCUGAGAGGAUGAUCAGCCACACUGGAACUGAGACACGGUCCAGACUCCUACGGGAGGCAGCAGUGGGGAAUAUUGGACAAUGGGCGCAAGCCUGAUCCAGCCAUACCGCGUGGGUGAAGAAGGCCUUCGGGUUGUACAGCCCUUUUGUUGGGAAAGAAAAGCAGCAGGUUAAGACCCCGCUGUUCUGACGGUACCCAAAGAAUAAGCCCCGGCUCCCUUCUU